AUACUGAGGGUGCAAGCGUUAAUCGGAAUUACUGGGCGUAAAGCGCGCGUAGGCGGUUUACUAAGUCAGAUGUGAAAGCCCCAGGCUCAACCUGGGAACGGCAUUUGAUACUGGUGAACUUGAGUUUGAUAGAGGGUGGCGGAAUUCCAGGUGUAGCGGUGAAAUGCGUAGAUAUCUGGAAGAACACCAGUGGCGAAGGCGGCCACCUGGAUCAAAACUGACGCUGAGGUGCGAAAGCGUGGGGAGCAAACAGGAUUAGAAACCCUAGUAGUCC
RNAcentral lists this ribosomal RNA (274 nucleotides) under uncultured bacterium. Its description in RNAcentral is "partial 16S ribosomal RNA". It matches the Rfam family "Bacterial small subunit ribosomal RNA", at positions 523 to 796 of the family's 1533-position model. The record is from RNAcentral.